This 389-nucleotide ribosomal RNA is filed under the name uncultured bacterium. Its description in RNAcentral is "bacterial SSU rRNA". It matches the Rfam family "Bacterial small subunit ribosomal RNA", at positions 28 to 417 of the family's 1533-position model. The record is from RNAcentral.
GACGAACGCUGGCGGCGUGCUUAACACAUGCAAGUCGAGCGGUAAGGCCCUUUCGGGGGUACACGAGCGGCGAACGGGUGAGUAACACGUGGGUGACCUGCCCUCAGCUCUGGGAUAAGCCUGGGAAACUGGGUCUAAUACCCGGAUAUGACUCCAUGACGCAUGUUGUGGGGUGGAAAGCCUUGUGCGGCUGAGGAUGGGCCCGCGGCCUAUCAGCUUGUUGGUGGGGUGANGGCCUACCAAGGCGACGACGGGUAGCCGGCCUGAGAGGGCGACCGGCCACACUGGGACUGAGACACGGCCCAGACUCCUACGGGAGGCAGCAGUGGGGAAUCUUGCGCAAUGGGCGAAAGCCUGACGCAGCGACGCCGCGUGAGGGAUGACGGCCU